RNAcentral lists this ribosomal RNA (465 nucleotides) under Vreelandella stevensii. RNAcentral's name for it is "partial 16S ribosomal RNA". It matches the Rfam family "Bacterial small subunit ribosomal RNA", at positions 338 to 795 of the family's 1533-position model. The record is from RNAcentral. Lineage: Bacteria; Pseudomonadati; Pseudomonadota; Gammaproteobacteria; Oceanospirillales; Halomonadaceae.
CCUACGGGGGGCAGCAGUGGGGAAUAUUGGACAAUGGGGGCAACCCUGAUCCAGCCAUGCCGCGUGUGUGAAGAAGGCCCUCGGGUUGUAAAGCACUUUCAGUGAGGAAGAACGCCUGGUGGUUAAUACCCAUCAGGAAAGACAUCACUCACAGAAGAAGCACCGGCUAACUCCGUGCCAGCAGCCGCGGUAAUACGGAGGGUGCGAGCGUUAAUCGGAAUUACUGGGCGUAAAGCGCGCGUAGGUGGCUUGAUAAGCCGGUUGUGAAAGCCCCGGGCUCAACCUGGGAACGGCAUCCGGAACUGUCAAGCUAGAGUGCAGGAGAGGAAGGUAGAAUUCCCGGUGUAGCGGUGAAAUGCGUAGAGAUCGGGAGGAAUACCAGUGGCGAAGGCAGCCUUAUGGACUGACACUGACACUGAGGUGCGAAAGCGUGGGUAGCAAACAGGAUUAGAUACCCCAGUAGUC